RNAcentral lists this transfer RNA (88 nucleotides) under Chloroflexota bacterium. RNAcentral describes it as "tRNA-Ser". It matches the Rfam family "tRNA". Rfam says of the family: Transfer RNA (tRNA) molecules are approximately 80 nucleotides in length. Their secondary structure includes four short double-helical elements and three loops (D, anti-codon, and T loops). Lineage: Bacteria; Bacillati; Chloroflexota. The record is from RNAcentral.
GGAGGGGUGUCCGAGUGGUUGAAGGAGCUCGUCUCGAAAACGAGUGGGCGUUACAAGCGUCUCGUGGGUUCGAAUCCCACCCCCUCCG